This 354-nucleotide RNase P RNA is filed under the name bovine gut metagenome. Its description in RNAcentral is "Bacterial RNase P class A". It matches the Rfam family "Bacterial RNase P class A". From Rfam's summary of the family: Ribonuclease P (RNase P) is a ubiquitous endoribonuclease, found in archaea, bacteria and eukarya as well as chloroplasts and mitochondria. The record is from RNAcentral. RNAcentral also lists the same sequence under 1 other name.
UGGCGGCUUGUCGCUCGUUAACUAAUUGGUUGCGAGAGGAAAGUCCGGGCAACGCAGAGCGUCACAUUUCUUAACGGGAAGCCGCGGGUGACCGUGGGGUUAAGGUGACAGAAAAGAACCGCCGCACGUCUGUUGCGGUAAGGGUGAAAAGGCGGGGUAAGAGCCCACCGGGCGCUAUGGUGACACAGCGCGCCGCACCACCUGUGAGUUGCAAGUUCAUGUAUACCGGCAUCUAAGGGCUGCUCGUCCAUUGCCGGGGGGUAGAACGCUAUACCGGUGCAGCAAUGUACCGGACAGAUAAAUGACAAGCACCUGGCUUAACGGCAGGCACAUAACCCGGCUUAUAGCCAUACU